GGAUGACUGGCCGCAGGCGGCCGGGCGGGCUGUAACCCGCCGCUGAACUAGCGCUUCUGUGUCCAGAGGCUUCGGCCUGGCCGCCGUCGCCUGUAAGCUACGAGGAGGAGAUUUACGACUUGGCCGGGCGCAGCAAAGGCCAGACUCUGCGCGAACAGGCGCUGCGCACCAACCGGCAGGCACCUGGCGGGCACCAUCGCACGGUGGCGCAGAAGCCCCUCAAUGGCCAGCGCCAGCUGCAGCCGCGGCCGCGCAGUCGUCCCACCUGAGCUUGGGCGAAUGUGGAUUGGGAAAGUCGACAUUAAUCAACUCAUUAUUCCUCAUAGAUUUGUAUUCUCCAGAGUAUCCAGGUCCUUCUCACAGAAUUAAAAAGACUGUACAGCUGGCAGCCUGUUAUCGAUUACAUUGAUAGUAAAUUUGAGGACUACCUAAAUGCAGAAUCAUGCGUGAACAGACAUCAGAUGCCUGAUAACAGGGUGCAGUGUUGUUCAUACUUCAUUGCUCCUUCAGGACAUGGAAUUGCUAAAGGACACAAGGAAAAUCACAGCAGCUUACUUUUUCCUCAACGGAUAUUUGGGCACCUUCACGAGUGUUAGAUACCAUGCUAGGUCCUGAGGAUACAGAUGAAUGAGACAAGGCCCUCACUGCGAAGAGUAUUUCAGUGAGAAGAUGGGAGAAACAAAUACAGAUGCUCUUCGACUUGGGACAGGGUUACAUUAACCCAUCACUUAAACCAUUGGAUAUUGAGUUUAUGAAGCGUUUGCAUGAAAAAGUGAGUAUCACCCCACUUAUUGCCAAAGCAGACACACUCACACCAGAGGAAUGCCAACAGUUUAAAAAACAGUUGAAAAUGGUGAACAUUGUUAUUUUACAAUUCUAAGAAAUAUGUUGAUAAGGUAACUUUUCCGGUCACACACAACAGACUGAUUUUCCUGUGGAAGACCUCACAGGAGUUCUCUUGAACCAGGAGACUAUUUUGAGCUGAAAUACCUGGAGCCCUCUCAAGCUAUUUGGGCCUUUCAAUUUGAAACCCAGGUUUGGAUGAUUCUAAGCUCUAUGGCAGAGACUGUAAUCAUUUUCUCUUCACCCUCAGGUUGGGGACUCACCCUCAGGGUUGGGAGUGACUGCUGUCUCUCCAGCCCCCACCAAUUACACCAUGUUCUGGUUGUUAAAAUCCAGUGUAUGCAUGAAAUGUAAUAAAAGUAUCUUCGCAGCACUAA
Molecule: long non-coding RNA, 1220 nt
Organism: Homo sapiens (human)
Lineage: Eukaryota; Metazoa; Chordata; Mammalia; Primates; Hominidae
Gene: SEPTIN7P11
Product: septin 7 pseudogene 11
Source: Ensembl